AAGUCGUAACAAGGUUUCCGUAGGUGAACCUGCGGAAGGAUCAUUAUCGAUUUUAAAAGCUCUUGAGCUGGCACUGCAGGUGCUCAGAGCCUUUAUCCAAUCAACCCCUGUGCACAUCGAACGAAUGGUUGAAAGGUUACUUAACUGUGCCGGACGACUGUUUGUUUUAUUAUAAACACUUUUUUAUUGUCUUGUAAUGGAUUAGCCUUCGGGCUCUAAAGUUAAAUACAACUUUCAACAACGGAUCUCUUGGCUCUC
RNAcentral lists this unclassified non-coding RNA (258 nucleotides) under air metagenome. RNAcentral describes it as "partial contains small subunit ribosomal RNA, internal transcribed spacer 1, and 5.8S ribosomal RNA". The stretch from base 1 to 46 matches the Rfam family "Eukaryotic small subunit ribosomal RNA", at positions 1786 to 1831 of the family's 1831-position model. The record is from RNAcentral.